This 403-nucleotide ribosomal RNA is filed under the name uncultured bacterium. Its description in RNAcentral is "partial 16S ribosomal RNA". It matches the Rfam family "Bacterial small subunit ribosomal RNA", at positions 28 to 526 of the family's 1533-position model. The record is from RNAcentral.
GACGAACGCUGGCGGCGUGCCUAACACAUGCAAGUCGAACGCAGUGGGGACGGGUGAGUAACACGUGGGUAACCUCCCAUCAGAGGGGAUAACAUUUGGAAACAGGUGCUAAACUGAUAGUGAUGGAUGGACCCGGGGUGCAUUAGCUAGCUGGGGAGGUAACUGCACACCAAGGCCACGAUGCAUAGCCGACCUGAGAGGUUGAUCGGCCACCCUGGGACUGAGACACGGCCCAGACUCCUACGGGAGGCAGCAGUAGGGAAUCUUCGGCAAUGGACGAAAGUCUGACCGAGCAACGCCGCGUGAGUGAAGAAGGUUUUCGGGUCGUAAAGCUCUGUUGUUAGAGAAGCGGUAUCUAAAGAGAAAGCCACGGCUAACUACGUGCCAGCAGCCGCGGUAAUAC